GUGGGGAAUAUUGGGCAAUGGGGGAAACCCUGACCCAGCGACGCCGCGUGAGGGAAGAAGGCCUUAGGGUCGUAAACCUCUGUUGUGUGGGAAGAAGAGCGUGACGGUACCACACGAGGAAGUCCCGGCUAACUACGUGCCAGCAGCCGCGGUAAUACGUAGGGGACGAGCGUUGUCCGGAUUUACUGGGCGUAAAGGGCGCGUAGGCGGUCAUUUAAGUCAGCUGUGAAAUGGUUUGGCUUAACCGGAGCAUGCGGUUGAGACUGGAUGGCUGGAGUGCUGGAGAGGCAAGUGGAAUUCCCAGUGUAGCGGUGAAAUGCGUAGAUAUUGGGAAGAACACCGGUGGCGAAGGCGACUUGCUGGCCAGCAACUGACGCUGAGGCGCGAAAGCCAGGGGAGCAAACGGGAUUAGAAACCCUGGUAGUCC
RNAcentral lists this ribosomal RNA (427 nucleotides) under uncultured bacterium. RNAcentral describes it as "partial 16S ribosomal RNA". It matches the Rfam family "Bacterial small subunit ribosomal RNA", at positions 354 to 796 of the family's 1533-position model. The record is from RNAcentral.